GCACGUUCUUUCGUUCGGGAUUAAGAGCAGCAGCAGCAGCAACAACAGCAGCGGACGCGGCGUUUUGGAUGUGUUCGCCACUUGGUUGUCUGCUCGGGAGCGGCGUGGAUCUCGUGCGGCCAUCGACGGAGUGGAGACCGCGAGACGUGUUCGCAACGCGGCCGACGGCGCGACCAGGUAUGGAAAGAUUGAAGACCAGCGCAGCGGGAAUGCGGUGCGGCGUUUCCCAGCUUGCAAGGGGGAUGGUGUCGCUGCUUUGUGGCCACGGAAGGGGGCUGCUGUUGGACACCUCCAUCAGGGCAACGUCAUCCAGCUUGGACAGGAGCAGCCCACCCGGCGCGUCGCAGCUACCCGGCUUGAGGGCCAACGUGACGCACUGGCACGU
Long non-coding RNA from Lethenteron reissneri (Far Eastern brook lamprey), 385 nucleotides. RefSeq lists it as uncharacterized. The record is from RefSeq and is a predicted model, not a curated record. Lineage: Eukaryota; Metazoa; Chordata; Hyperoartia; Petromyzontiformes; Petromyzontidae.